This 23-nucleotide non-coding RNA is filed under the name Arabidopsis thaliana (thale cress). The record is from RNAcentral. Lineage: Eukaryota; Viridiplantae; Streptophyta; Magnoliopsida; Brassicales; Brassicaceae.
AGAUUUAAUCGCGGUGGUUACAC